AGCAGUAGCCGCGGUAAUACGUAGGGUGCGAGCGUUAAUCGGAAUUACUGGGCGUAAAGCGUGCGCAGGCAGUUAUAUAAGACAGAUGUGAAAUCCCCGGGCUCAACCUGGGACCUGCAUUUGUGACUGUACAGCUAGAGUACGGUAGAGGGGGAUGGAAUUCCGCGUGUAGCAGUGAAAUGCGUAGAUAUGCGGAGGAACACCGAUGGCGAAGGCAAUCCCCUGGACAUGUACUGACGCUCAUGCACGAAAGCGUGGGGAGCAAACAGGAUUAGAUACCCCAGUAGUCCCUGUCUCUUAUAC
Molecule: ribosomal RNA, 303 nt
Filed under: uncultured bacterium
Lineage: Bacteria
Description: partial 16S ribosomal RNA
Rfam family: Bacterial small subunit ribosomal RNA
Source: RNAcentral